GACGAACGCUGGCGGCGUGCUUAACACAUGCAAGUCGAACGGAAAGGCCCUGCUUUUGUGGGGUGCUCGAGUGGCGAACGGGUGAGUAACACGUGAGUAACCUGCCCUUGACUUUGGGAUAACUUCAGGAAACUGGGGCUAAUACCGGAUAGGAGCUCCUGCUGCAUGGUGGGGGUUGGAAAGUUUCGGCGGUUGGGGAUGGACUCGCGGCUUAUCAGCUUGUUGGUGGGGUAGUGGCUUACCAAGGCCUUGACGGGUAGCCGGCCUGAGAGGGUGACCGGCCACAUUGGGACUGAGAUACGGCCCAGACUCCUACGGGAGGCAGCAGUGGGGAAUAUUGCACAGUGGGCGGAAGCCUGAUGCAGCAACGCCGCGGGCGGGAUGACGGCCUUCGGGUUGUAAACCGCUUUCGCCUGUGACGAAGCGUGAGUGACGGUAAUGGGUAAAGAAGCACCGGCUAACUACGUG
RNAcentral lists this ribosomal RNA (468 nucleotides) under uncultured bacterium. Its description in RNAcentral is "partial 16S ribosomal RNA". It matches the Rfam family "Bacterial small subunit ribosomal RNA", at positions 28 to 507 of the family's 1533-position model. The record is from RNAcentral.